GAUGAACGCUGGCGGCGUGCCUAAUACAUGCAAGUCGAGCGAACAGACGAGGAGCUUGCUCCUCUGACGUUAGCGGCGGACGGGUGAGUAACACGUGGAUAACCUACCUAUAAGACUGGGAUAACUUCGGGAAACCGGAGCUAAUACCGGAUAAUAUAUUGAACCGCAUGGUUCAAUAGUGAAAGACGGUUUUGCUGUCACUUAUAGAUGGAUCCGCGCCGCAUUAGCUAGUUGGUAAGUUAACGGCUUACCAAGGCAACGAUGCGUAGCCGACCUGAGAGGGUGAUCGGCCACACUGGAACUGAGACACGGUCCAGACUCCUACGGGAGGCAGCAGUAGGGAAUCGUCCGCAAUGGGCGAAAGCCUGACGGAGCAACGCCGCGUGAGUGAUGAAGGUCUUCGGAUCGUAAAACUCUGUUAUUAGGGAAGAACAAAUGUGUAAGUAACUAUGCACGUCGUGACGGUACCUAAUCAGAAAGCAACGGCUAACUACGUG
RNAcentral lists this ribosomal RNA (497 nucleotides) under uncultured bacterium. RNAcentral describes it as "partial 16S ribosomal RNA". It matches the Rfam family "Bacterial small subunit ribosomal RNA", at positions 28 to 507 of the family's 1533-position model. The record is from RNAcentral.